UUUGGAAGAGUUGAUCCUGGCUCAGGACGAACGCGGCGGCGUGCCUAAUACAUGCAAGUCGAGCGGAGCAGAUGGAGUGCUUGCACUCCUGAUGCUUAGCGGCGGACGGGUGAGUAAUACGUAGGUAACCUGCCCUUAAGACCGGGAUAACUCACGGAAACGUGGGCUAAUACCGGAUAGGCGAUUUCCUCGCAUGAGGGAAUCGGGAAAGGCGGAGCAAUCUGCCACUUAUGGAUGGACCUACGGCGCAUUAGCUAGUUGGUGGGGUAACGGCUCACCAAGGCGACGAUGCGUAGCCGACCUGAGAGGGUGAUCGGCCACACUGGGACUGAGACACGGCCCAGACUCCUACGGGAGGCAGCAGUAGGGAAUCUUCCGCAAUGGACGCAAGUCUGACGGAGCAACGCCGCGUGAGUGAUGAAGGUUUUCGGAUCGUAAAGCUCUGUUGCCAGGGAAGAACGCUAUGGAGAGUAACUGUUCCAUAGGUGACGGUACCUAGAAGAAAGCCC
This 509-nucleotide ribosomal RNA is filed under the name Paenibacillus dendritiformis. RNAcentral describes it as "bacterial SSU rRNA". It matches the Rfam family "Bacterial small subunit ribosomal RNA", at positions 1 to 493 of the family's 1533-position model. The record is from RNAcentral. Lineage: Bacteria; Bacillati; Bacillota; Bacilli; Caryophanales; Paenibacillaceae.